RNAcentral lists this ribosomal RNA (253 nucleotides) under uncultured bacterium. RNAcentral's name for it is "partial 16S ribosomal RNA". It matches the Rfam family "Bacterial small subunit ribosomal RNA", at positions 524 to 776 of the family's 1533-position model. The record is from RNAcentral.
UACGUAGGGGGCAAGCGUUGUCCGGAAUCAUUGGGCGUAAAGCGCGUGUAGGCGGCUGAGUAAGUCUGCUCUGAAAGCCCGGGGCUCAACCCCGGGAGGCGGGUGGAUACUGCUCAGCUCGAGUCCGGAAGAGGAGUGUGGAAUUCCUGGUGUAGCGGUGAAAUGCGCAGAUAUCAGGAGGAACACCAAUGGCGAAGGCAGCACUCUGGGAUGGUACUGACGCUGAGACGCGAAAGCGUGGGGAGCAAACAGG